AACAUACACACCUCACCAUGGAGUCUGUGCUGGGCUGGGUUUUCCUUGUUGCUCUUUUAAAAGGUGUCCAGUGUGACGUGCAGCUGGUGGAGUCUGGGGGAAACCUGGUGAAGCCUGGGGGGUCCCUGAGACUCACCUGUGUGGCCUCUGGAUUCACCUUCAGUAGCUAUAGCAUGCACUGGGUCCGCCAGGCUCCAGGGAAGGGGCUGCAGUGGGUCGCACGCAUUUAUGAUGAUGGAAGUAGCACAAGCUACGCAGACUCC
Molecule: non-coding RNA, 263 nt
Organism: Puma concolor (puma)
Lineage: Eukaryota; Metazoa; Chordata; Mammalia; Carnivora; Felidae
Source: the annotation of a RefSeq genome assembly